UCGACUACGAAGUCCGCGAACACCUGCCCCUUGAUCGGUCCUCGGGGCUCGUACUGAAUAUCGAAUUCCGACAAUUCUACUGCCCACUUGACCAUCCUUCCUGCCACAUCAGGUUUCUUCAAUACAUUCUGGAUAGGCAGAUCAGUCAUCACCACCACUGUGAAGCUGUGGAAAUAAUGCCUGAGUCUUCUGGCUGAGAAUACCACCGCUAGAGCAGCCUUCUCGAGG
This 228-nucleotide long non-coding RNA is filed under the name Phaseolus vulgaris (common bean). RNAcentral's name for it is "long non-coding RNA (PVUL_LNC002244)". The record is from RNAcentral. Lineage: Eukaryota; Viridiplantae; Streptophyta; Magnoliopsida; Fabales; Fabaceae.